This is a long non-coding RNA of Junco hyemalis (dark-eyed junco), 1829 nucleotides long. Lineage: Eukaryota; Metazoa; Chordata; Aves; Passeriformes; Passerellidae. The record is from Ensembl.
UAUUUUAGUACAGAGGCUGCGCGUGCGGCACCGGGAGUGCUGGGAGGGACUGGUUUGGACUGGGAGCACUGGUUUGUAAUGGGAGCACUGGUUCAUACUGGGAUCCCUGUUCCAUACUGGAAUCAUUGGUCCAUACUGGGAGCACUGGUUCAUACUGGGAGCACUGGUUCAUACUGGAAUCAUUGGUCCAUACUGGGAGCACUGGUUCAUACUGGGAUCCCUGUUCCAUACUGGGAUCAUUGGUCCAUACUGGGAGCACUGGUUUUUACUGGGCCCGGCCCCCCAGCACCACGCAGAGCCCGCGGAUCUUUCUGGAAAGUUUUUAAUCAGAACCUGGAAAAUCCAACGCAGAGGGGGCGUGGCCUGGGCUUGGCCCCUCCCCCCAGUGUCCCCGCACCCAGGGGCGGUGCCCGGGGCGGGGCUACAGCAGGACAGAAAUGGGGGGAAGGGAGGCCCCACCCCCGGCCCCGCCCCUCCCCCACCCAUACCGGGGCCUUCCUGAGUGCGGGGGGAGGGGCAGCCCUGGGGGGAGGGGCGGGGACAGCUCUGUCCCCAACGUGGGGGGGAGGGGCAGGGGACACCGGCAGGGGGAGGGGACACCCCCACCCCCCCUAAGGCCACCCCCGGACUGUCCCCGUGUCCCCCGUAAGGCUCAGGGACCCCCAGGAUGUCCCCACGCGUCCCCUGGGCCACCCCCGGCUGCUCCUGAGCCACCCGGGAUGUCCCCAAAGCCACCCGGGAUGUCCCCAAAGCCACCCGGGAUGUCCCUGCGCCAUCCACGAUGUCCCCCAGGACCCCUCAGAAGGGCCCUGGGCCACCUCUCCUGUCCCCAGAGGUCCCUGUCCCCAAUGAGCCUCCCCAGAAGGUGCCACCAGGAUGUCCCCAUGAAUGAAACCCCGGCCCUGUCCCCAAGGCCCAUCCAGGAUGUCCCCGGGUGUAUCCAGGCGGUCUCAGCUCCAUCCAGGGCUCCCAGGUCCAUCCUGGUGCUCCCGUGUCCCCCCGUGGGUGUCCCCUCCAUGUCCGUGGCUCCGUGGCCACCCCAGAGGCACUCCCAGGUCACCGUGGCCGUGUCCCCAAAAGCCGCAGCCCCGAGGUGGCCAUGGCCGUGUCCCCAGGGGUGACAGCCCUGAGGUGGCCGUGUCCCCAGGAGCCAGAGCUCCAAGGUGGCCGUGGCCGUGUCCCCAAGAGCUGCAGCUUGGUGGCCACUCCUGGAUCACCAUGUCCGUGUCCCCAGAGCUCCAUGGCCACCUCAGCUGUCCCCAGGUGACUCCCACUGUCCCAUCCGUUGCUCAGAGCUUGAGCUCCGUGGCCACCUUGGAGCCCCUCCUGGGUCACCGUGUCCGUGUCCCCGGAGCUCCAUGGCCACUCCUGGGUCACCGUGUCCAUGUCCCCGGAGCUCCAUGGCCACUCCUGGGUCACCACAUCCGUGUCCGUGUCCCCGGAGCUCGGUGGCCCCCCAGCCGUCCCCGCCGUGGCUCAGAGCUUGAGCUCGUUGGCCACCUUGGAGGCGAUGUUCUUGAAGGCCAUGGAGGUGCCGGCGAUGCGCUUGAAGCGGACGCCGUUGAGCGAGAGCCGGGGCAGCUUGCACACCUCCAUCUCCCACUGCACGAAGGAGUCGUGCCCGGGCGCGCCGUGGGCGCAGAGCAGCACGAAGCGCUCCUGGGGCUCGCAGCGGCAGCUGUUGGCGUCCAGCACCUUGCGGAUCUCGCGCAGCAUCUCCCCGGGCUCCAGCGAGCUCGUCGUCUUCAUGCUCCACGUGAAGCGCAGCGAGCGCGGCUUGGCGUCGCGCCCGGCGUCGCGGGGGUCCUUGUCGGGGCCCACCGCGGGUC